CCUACGGGUGGCAGCAGUGGGGAAUAUUGCACAAUGGGCGCAAGCCUGAUGCAGCCAUGCCGCGUGUGUGAAGAAGGCCUUCGGGUUGUAAAGCACUUUCAGCGGGGAGGAAGGCGUUAAGGUUAAUAACCUUGUCGAUUGACGUUACCCGCAGAAGAAGCACCGGCUAACUCCGUGCCAGCAGCCGCGGUAAUACGGAGGGUGCAAGCGUUAAUCGGAAUUACUGGGCGUAAAGCGCACGCAGGCGGUCUGUCAAGUCGGAUGUGAAAUCCCCGGGCUCAACCUGGGAACUGCAUUCGAAACUGGCAGGCUAGAGUCUUGUAGAGGGGGGUAGAAUUCCAGGUGUAGCGGUGAAAUGCGUAGAGAUCUGGAGGAAUACCGGUGGCGAAGGCGGCUCUCUGGCCUGUAACUGACGCUGAGGCGCGAAAGCGUGGGGAGCGAACAGGAUUAGAUACCCGUGUAGUC
RNAcentral lists this ribosomal RNA (465 nucleotides) under uncultured Klebsiella sp. RNAcentral's name for it is "bacterial SSU rRNA". It matches the Rfam family "Bacterial small subunit ribosomal RNA", at positions 338 to 795 of the family's 1533-position model. Lineage: Bacteria; Pseudomonadati; Pseudomonadota; Gammaproteobacteria; Enterobacterales; Enterobacteriaceae. The record is from RNAcentral.